AUGGGCUGCUUGAUAACGGGUUACUUCCCUGAACCAGCCACAGUGCAAUGGAAUUCAGGAGCUAUCACCUCCGGCAUUCAGAACUUCCCUGCAGUACGGCAAUCAUCCAGCGGCACCUACACCUUCACUAGCCAGCUCACCGUCCCAGCCUCCAGCUUGCACUCCCAGACUUUCCAAUGCAAUGUUGAACACGCGGCUACCAGCACCAGAAUCAACAAACAGAUCGAAGCCUGCUCUCAAGAGACCCCGGACGUCCGCCUCCUCCAUUCCUCCUGCAACCGCAACUCAGACGAUGCCACUAUUCAGCUUGUGUGCCUUAUCUCGGGCUUCUACCCUAGCACGGUCACAGUGAAUUGGCUGGUAGACGGGCAAUCCGGGAUGUUGCCUGCACACACUGAGGACCCCAAGAAAGACGCCAGCGGGGACACCUUCAGCACCACCAGCACAGCCAAUAUUACCCAACUAGAAUGGAAAGAGGGGAAGACAUACACCUGCCAGGUGAUCCACCAAGGUUCCACAGUGGAAAGAAAUGCCACAAAAUGCAGAGGCUGUGGCAAUGCAGUCCAUGUGGAGACCAUCCCGCCAUCCUUCGCCGAUAUUUUCCUGACCAAGUCGGCCAAGCUGACCUGCAGAAUCUCCAAUAUACCCGAUGAGCAGGACCUUGAAGAACUGAAUGUCACCUGGAUAAGAGCAUCUGACAACAAAGAACUGGAGACCGUCAUUGGGCAGCCUAAGCAGCAAGAAAACAGUGAGCUCUUAUUUGUGGAAGCAACAGCCACCGUUUGCAAAGAAGAGUGGGACAGCGGGGAUACCUUCAAGUGCAAAGUGACUCUUCCCCUUCUCCCCACAGCUGUCAUAAAAACACUGAAAAAGGUUCAUGGCGGCACUCCCAGAGCUCCCGCUGUCUACGUCCUCCCCCCUCCCUCGGAGCAACUGGCAUUGCAGGAAACAGCCACCCUCACUUGCCUGUUGAAAGGUUUCUACCCCGAGGAAUUCUUUGUGAAAUGGCUCCGGAAUGACGAGCCCGUGGGAGAUUCAGAGUUCUUCACCAGCCGUCCCGUACAGGAAUCCAAGACCCCCGAGCGGUACUUCACCUCCAGCACAAUUAAUGUCAAUGAGCAAGACUGGAACUCUGGAGACCAUUACACUUGCGUGGUGGGACACGAGGCGCUUCCCCUCCAGACGACUCAGAAGACCGUAGACAAGAACACGGGUAAACCCACCCUUGUCAACGUCUCCCUGGUACUCUCCGACACCACCACCACUUGCCACUAA
Non-coding RNA from Eublepharis macularius, 1275 nucleotides. The record is from the annotation of a RefSeq genome assembly. Lineage: Eukaryota; Metazoa; Chordata; Lepidosauria; Squamata; Eublepharidae.